AUGCUUCUUCGGUAGCACACAUACUAAAAUUGGAACAACACAGAGAAGAUUAGCGUGACCCCUGUGCAAGGAUGACAUGCAAAUUCAUGUUGGGGCUUUCAAAUAAGUUU
Small nuclear RNA from Echinops telfairi (small Madagascar hedgehog), 110 nucleotides. The record is from Ensembl. Lineage: Eukaryota; Metazoa; Chordata; Mammalia; Afrosoricida; Tenrecidae.